GGGAAAGUGGCUGAGCGGUUCAAGGCGACAGACUGUAAAUCUGCUGAUUAAAUUCAUCGCAGGUUCGAAUCCUGCCUUUCCCA
Non-coding RNA from Ostreococcus tauri, 83 nucleotides. The record is from Rfam. NCBI's taxonomy places the organism in Eukaryota, Viridiplantae, Chlorophyta, Mamiellophyceae, Mamiellales, Bathycoccaceae.